Molecule: RNA transcript, 2847 nt
Organism: Pomacea canaliculata
Lineage: Eukaryota; Metazoa; Mollusca; Gastropoda; Architaenioglossa; Ampullariidae
Exons: 3
Source: RefSeq, a predicted model, not a curated record
AAGCGGGAAGUUUCUCGCUGUGGGACAGGCUCAAACCUUGUGACAGUCGCCAGCGCACAGCCCGCCACUUCACUGCAGCAACGGAAGAACAAUCGAAGUGCAUGGUGAUUGUACUCGGUGCUCAGACAGUUGAUACCAACACGGAUCACGACUUGUUUCAGCUAAGUCUGUGCUGACGACAGGCGGCCAUGUCCAGGAACAGCAGUCUGACGGCGGACGAGGCGGGCAUCAGUCUCACGUGUCCGGUGUGCCUGGACAUGCUGACGUCGCCUCGUUUCUUGCCGUGUCACCACACGCUGUGCACAGACUGCAUCUCCGACUUGAUGGAGCGCGCCGGCCCAGCCCCUCACUUCCUGUGUCCGCUGUGCCAAAGCCGCGUGGCCAUCCCCGACGAAGGCGUGCACAGCUUCCAGGUCAACUUUUACCUUGCACCCUUGCUUUCCGGCAAAGUGCAGAUCAGCACAGCCGGAAGCUGCCAACAGUGCCUCAGAGUGGGUGAAGGCGGAAUGACUGGCGUGGCAGGUGCACGGAAAUCUGCUGCCAUGUCUGUGGGCACGGCGGUGGCCACGUGUGUGGAGUGUCGCUUGGCCAUGUGCCGCGAGUGCGUGCAGGCGCACCAAGAGCAGCCGCUGUACGCGCGCCACCAGUUCCGCUCGCUGACUAACUGCGACACCUCAAGAGCCGGCAUCUCAUGCGAGGGUCAUGCAAGCCAAGAGCAGUUGGCCUUCUACUGCAAGACGUGCGACGCGCUGGUGUGUCGACCCUGCAAGGCCUUCGAGCAUCCCAACCACAGACUGGUGGGUGUGGCAGUGGAGGCUGAAGCGCAAAGGUCGGAGGUGAGGAGGCAGCUCAUGAGCCUGUCCACGCUGCGAGGGGCGCUGGUCAGUCUGCAGGACGAGGGGACUGUGCGCGCGGACACGCUGCAGACCAGCUGUCGGGACAUUCUCCACACGCUGGACACCACAGAGAAAAGGCGUGCACUCAAUCACUGCCCGCACGCAUGCCACGGAAUCCAGCUUAAAAGAAAGUGAGAGACAAACUUCUGCAAGUCAUCACUGAGGAAAAGAAGAAGAUACAAGAGAGAAUUACUGCCAUAUCUGAACUGCUCGCCUUGGCCAACGAGGAAGUGAAUUCCAGCGACGCCACUUCCUGUCGAAGAAGGCGAGACUAGUGUCAGGAUCCAGAGCGUCAUGGCCAGAAUGCCGGCAUCGCGAGGAGACUUAGAGUUCUCCUUUAAGAUGAGCGCCGAAAUCAGUUUCAUUGUUGCGGCAGGACAACUCUUUCGGCUACAUGACCGUGCAGUUCCAGGUCCCGAUCCUUCGCCAUCGCUUCAGCCUGACGUCGACGAAGCAGCACCGGAAACUGCGCAAGAUCUCGCCGCGCUCGGACGGCCGAGUGUGGGCGUCGGUGGGCAACGUGCUGGUGGACAUCUCCGAGGACCUGGUGGAGACGAAGCGGCUGGAGUUCCCCACUGAGAUCUCCGACUUCGUGCCGGCACCCGACGGGAGCGUGUACGUGGCACUGGUCUUUCCACAACCCGUCAAGAUCCUCCUGCCCUCCGAACAGGCCUGCGACUUUGCCUGUCCGCUGGUGCCCCCGGGUGCCAUGGCACUCACCGACAAACAUGAGCUGGCAAUGGCCGCCAACGACGGGAAGGAACUCUCGCUGACUUUCUACACGCACAGUGGCGCCAGGUCGAGGAGAGUCAGCCUCCCUAGACCCGACUUCUUUCCUACGUCUAUGACAUUCACCAAACGCGGACAGGUGUUUUUGUGCAGUUCUGCGGAGAUCCUCUGUCUAGAUGCCGACUUCUCGGAAGUUGCUUGCCUGUGUGACGACGACUCCUUACAGGCCAGGGCCAUCAGCACCUUGAGAGGCGUGGGGUCCGGAGUUGGCGAUGUUCUGAUGGCCAAUGGUUCAAACGGAAGUGUGGAGGUUUUGGAGCUGGUUGGAAACACGCUAGAGCGCAGGCGCAACCUCAUCGAGGGCAGACGAGGGCAAGACUGUGACGUCACACCACCCGAAGGGGAGAGCCACAAUAUCAGUUGCUGCGCCGUCGACCGCUCUGGGCGACUGUGGGUCGGAGAGGAAGAAGGACAUAUCACGUUUACGAUUGGUAAUGCGCUUAAAGUGAUUUAUGCACGGGAAAAGUCCGCGAUUAACUUCAAAUCUCAACCCACAGUCGCAGCCUGUGACCUAUGGCAGGACAAUAACUCGAUGUGUCGGAAACUGCUCUAAUUAGUUUGCCGUCCAUUUAACCAACUCUGAUCUCUCACAACUGCUGCCAAACAUGAGUCUGAUGGUGCUGUAGUAUGUGUAAACAGUACUAUCAAUAAUCAUGAUGCUGUAUUAUGUGUCUGUACCACAUGAUUUACACUGUCAGCGUCAUGGUGCUGUACUAUGUAUUAUGAAAUGUUCCAUGAAUUUAAUAAGUAUUGUGCACCUGUUGAUAUUACUUUGAUGGUGUAUUAUGAGUAAUGGUUUUUGAACAAUGAGCCUGAUGAUGCUGCAACAUGAAUUUAGUGUGUUGAUGGAGCUGCACUAUGAUGUACUAAUGCUGCUGUAUUAUGAGCCUGAGUAGGUGAGGGGGGGGGAUGUUUUAUGGUGAUCCAGCAACUAAGGCUAUAUCCCAGCCACCCUGUAAACAGAUGCCUUAUGCAGAAAAAGAACAGCGUACUCGAGGCAAGAACUGAACUCCAGACAAACUUCACGGUUGGUUAUGAGCCUGAUGGAGCUGUUAGCAAUAAUUGUAUUUACCAAGGGUCUUCUGGUCUUCUAAGUUUAUUAACUAUGCAGCUAUCGACUUCCUACAGAGAAUACAAUUACAGUUAGAGUCACUGCUGGAAA